GCGCUUCAGACCCCAUUACAGAUGGUUGUGAGCCACCAUGUGGUUGCUGGGAAUUGAACUCAGGACCUCUGGUAGAGCAGUCAGUGCUCCUAACUGCUGAGCCAUCUCUCCAGCCUGUCUUAAAAGAUUCUUAACACUGUAUCUAAUACUUCUCCAAUUUUAGGAUGAUUCUUACUACUCUGAUAUAUUUCUCUGAUUUGUUCACAAUUUAAAAACCUCUAUAGAAAGCCAUUAGUUUAUAGUAAUUUCUACAUACAUUUUUGUUAACCAUUUUCAAACUCCACAUGAAGAUUCAGGUUUUAGGAUUCUUUGUAACCAGGACUGUAUGGUAUAAUUAUAGUGUAAAUAUAUUAUGCUAUCAAGUUCAUGACAUGUGAAUAGAAGCUUAAUAGCUCAUUCUCAAUGACAUUUUUGUUGUUUGAUUUCUGUGUUAGGAUCAUGAGUACCGCAGGCUAGCACCAAACUCCCUAUGUAGCCAAGAAUGAAAGUGGACUUCCAAUCCUUCUGCUUCUACCUCCUGAGUGCUGAGAAUACAGACCACCAUGUAUAAACCACAUGCCUGCUUUAUACAGCACUGAGAAUAGAACCCAAGACUUUGUGCAUGUGACACACGCAUUCGACCAACUGACCCACAUUCCCUAUUCUUUAUACCUUUUGGUAUAUAUUAGACUCUGCAAUCAUUUUUAAUUGAAUUCUAUCACCGAUUUGUGCCUCACUUUGAACCCUUUUCCCCCUAAUAUAACUGAUACUUUUCUUCUGCGUCCCAAAAGAACUAAGACAUCCAGCUUUGUCCACCUGUUACCCCUGUUAUAUUUUACAUUGUUCAUAACUGUUUUUCUCCCCUAGAUGAUGAGCGCACUGGCAAAAACAUGGACCA
RNAcentral lists this long non-coding RNA (877 nucleotides) under Mus musculus (house mouse). Its description in RNAcentral is "long non-coding RNA chr1:160800911-160801788". Lineage: Eukaryota; Metazoa; Chordata; Mammalia; Rodentia; Muridae. The record is from RNAcentral.